Mus musculus (house mouse) is the source of this 65-nucleotide non-coding RNA. NCBI's taxonomy places the organism in Eukaryota, Metazoa, Chordata, Mammalia, Rodentia, Muridae. The record is from the annotation of a RefSeq genome assembly.
GCAGACAGGCUUUGCAAGUGCGCUGACAUUUGGAUCUGGCACAAAAGUCAUUCCAUGUCUACCAU